UCAAUAUUUUCUUCACCCCUGGCUGCGAGAGCCCCGGAUUAAUAGGAGGCUGUACGGAAGAACCAAGUUGCUAGCAGCGCAUCGGACAACGAGAUUAACCAGCACGCCAUCCGCUGGUUCAACCCGGCCUCUGACCGCAGAGGUGGCCGCAAAGAACGUGCCAUGGCCAGAGAUGCAUUAACCAUGGAAUGAACGCAUCAGCCAUCCCACACUCUUCCAUGAUGGUUUGUUGGACGUUAUGUGACGGUUGUUCCAACAGUU
Pimephales promelas (fathead minnow) is the source of this 261-nucleotide non-coding RNA. The record is from RefSeq and is a predicted model, not a curated record. NCBI's taxonomy places the organism in Eukaryota, Metazoa, Chordata, Actinopteri, Cypriniformes, Leuciscidae.